Molecule: ribosomal RNA, 500 nt
Filed under: uncultured bacterium
Lineage: Bacteria
Description: bacterial SSU rRNA
Rfam family: Bacterial small subunit ribosomal RNA
Source: RNAcentral
AACCUUACCUGGGCUUAAAUGUAGGUUGACAGGUUUAGAGAUAGACUUUUCUUCGGACAAUUUACAAGGUGCUGCAUGGUUGUCGUCAGCUCGUGCCGUGAGGUGUCGGGUUAAGUCCCAUAACGAGCGCAACCCCUAUUGUUAGUUGCCAUCAGGUCAAGCUGGGAACUCUAACGAGACUGCCACCGUAAGGUGCGAGGAAGGUGGGGAUGACGUCAAAUCAGCACGGCCCUUAUGUCCAGGGCUACACACGUGUUACAAUGGCCAGUACAAAGGGCAGCUACUUGGUGACAAGAUGCUAAUCUCGAAAGCUGGUCUCAGUUCGGAUCGAAGUCUGCAACCCGACUUCGUGAAGCUGGAUUCGCUAGUAAUCGCGCAUCAGCCAUGGCGCGGUGAAUACGUUCCCGGGCCUUGUACACACCGCCCGUCAAACCAUGGAAGUUGGGGGUACCUGAAGUCUGUUACCGCGAGGAGCGGCCUAGGGUAAAACCAGUAACUGG